RNAcentral lists this ribosomal RNA (393 nucleotides) under uncultured eukaryote. RNAcentral's name for it is "SSU rRNA". It matches the Rfam family "Eukaryotic small subunit ribosomal RNA", at positions 587 to 972 of the family's 1831-position model. The record is from RNAcentral.
AGCUCCAAGAGCGUAUAUUCAAUUUGCUGCAGUUAAAAAGCUCGUAGUUGGGUGGGGGAGGAAGAUGAAGAGGGAGAAGGGGAACCGGAUCCUGAAUUGUUUUCUUCUAUUUUAAUGGAGAGUAGUCUUGUAGGUGCUCUUAACUGGGCGCUUACAACGACCUCUCCCGUUGACCGUGCUUAAAUUCGCGUGUUCAAAGCAAGCACAUUUAUCUGCUUGAAGAGUCUAGCAUGGGAUCAUAAAAUAUGGACUUGGUCGAGAUUUUUCUUCUCAUCUCCCAAGUCAAUGACAAAUAGGGGCAAGCGGGGGCAGAGGGAUUCCAUCGUUAGAGGUGAAAUUCUUAGACCGAUGGAGGACCAACAGAAGCCAAAGCGUCUGUCAAGGGUGUGCCCA